RNAcentral lists this ribosomal RNA (253 nucleotides) under uncultured bacterium. Its description in RNAcentral is "partial 16S ribosomal RNA". It matches the Rfam family "Bacterial small subunit ribosomal RNA", at positions 524 to 776 of the family's 1533-position model. The record is from RNAcentral.
UACGAAGGGGGCUAGCGUUGCUCGGAAUCACUGGGCGUAAAGGGUGCGUAGGCGGGUCUUUAAGUCAGGGGUGAAAUCCUGGAGCUCAACUCCAGAACUGCCUUUGAUACUGACGGUCUUGAGUUCGGGAGAGGUGAGUGGAACUGCGAGUGUAGAGGUGAAAUUCGUAGAUAUUCGCAAGAACACCAGUGGCGAAGGCGGCUCACUGGCCCGAUACUGACGCUGAGGUGCGAAAGCGUGGGGAGCAAACAGG